RNAcentral lists this ribosomal RNA (38 nucleotides) under Sarcoporia longitubulata. Its description in RNAcentral is "partial 28S ribosomal RNA". Lineage: Eukaryota; Fungi; Basidiomycota; Agaricomycetes; Polyporales. The record is from RNAcentral.
CUGACCUCAAAUCAGAUAGGAUUACCCGCUGAACUUAA